GGGUCCAUAGCUUAGUGGUAGAGCAUUUGACUGCAGAUUAAGAGGUUACCAGUUCGAACCUGGUUGGGCCCU
Transfer RNA from Ipomoea nil (Japanese morning glory), 72 nucleotides. It matches the Rfam family "tRNA". Rfam says of the family: Transfer RNA (tRNA) molecules are approximately 80 nucleotides in length. NCBI's taxonomy places the organism in Eukaryota, Viridiplantae, Streptophyta, Magnoliopsida, Solanales, Convolvulaceae. The record is from Rfam.